Molecule: ribosomal RNA, 253 nt
Filed under: uncultured bacterium
Lineage: Bacteria
Description: partial 16S ribosomal RNA
Rfam family: Bacterial small subunit ribosomal RNA
Source: RNAcentral
UACGGAGGGUGCAAGCGUUAUCCGGAUUCACUGGGUUUAAAGGGUGCGUAGGCGGAUAAGUAAGUCCGUGGUGAAAUCCUGCAGCUUAACUGCAGAACUGCCGUGGAUACUAUCUAUCUUGAAUGUCGUGGAGGUUAGCGGAAUAUGUCAUGUAGCGGUGAAAUGCUUAGAUAUGACAUAGAACACCUAUUGCGAAGGCAGCUAACUACGCGGUGAUUGACGCUGAUGCACGAAAGCGUGGGGAUCAAACAGG